AUCUAAGUAGUUUAAUUAAAAUAUCGAUUUGUGGAGUCGGUGAUAUAUUUUUUAUAUCUUAGGUU
RNAcentral lists this transfer RNA (65 nucleotides) under Rhabdoblatta atra. RNAcentral's name for it is "tRNA-His". The record is from RNAcentral. Lineage: Eukaryota; Metazoa; Arthropoda; Insecta; Blattodea; Blaberidae.